Molecule: ribosomal RNA, 486 nt
Filed under: uncultured bacterium
Lineage: Bacteria
Description: partial 16S ribosomal RNA
Rfam family: Bacterial small subunit ribosomal RNA
Source: RNAcentral
AUUGAACGCUGGCGGCAUGCCUUACACAUGCAAGUCGAACGGCAGCACGGGUGCUUGCACCUGGUGGCGAGUGGCGAACGGGUGAGUAAUACAUCGGAACAUGUCCUGUAGUGGGGGAUAGCCCGGCGAAAGCCGGAUUAAUACCGCAUACGAUCUACGGAUGAAAGCGGGGGACCUUCGGGCCUCGCGCUAUAGGGUUGGCCGAUGGCUGAUUAGCUAGUUGGUGGGGUAAAGGCCUACCAAGGCGACGAUCAGUAGCUGGUCUGAGAGGACGACCAGCCACACUGGGACUGAGACACGGCCAAGACUCCUACGGGAGGCAGCAGUGGGGAAUGUUGGACAAUGGGCGAAAGCAUGAUCCAGCAAUGCCGCGUGUGUGAAGAAGGCCUUCGGGUUGGAAAGCACGUUUGUCCGGAAAGAAAUCCUUGGCCCUAAUACGGUCGGGGGAUGACGGUACCGGAAGAAUAAGCACCGGCUAACUACGUG